Molecule: ribosomal RNA, 447 nt
Filed under: uncultured bacterium
Lineage: Bacteria
Description: bacterial SSU rRNA
Rfam family: Bacterial small subunit ribosomal RNA
Source: RNAcentral
CCAGACUCCUACGGGAGGCAGCAGUGGGGAAUAUUGGGCAAUGGGCGCAAGCCUGACCCAGCAACGCCGCGUGAAGGGAGAAGGCUUUCGGGUUGUAAACUUCUUUUGUCAGGGACGAAGCAAGUGACGGUACCUGACGAAUAAGCCACGGCUAACUACGUGCCAGCAGCCGCGGUAAUACGUAGGGGGCAAGCGUUAUCCGGAUUCACUGGGCGUAAAGGGAGCGCAGGCGGCAUGGCAAGUCUGAUGUGAAAACCCGGGGCCCAACCCCGGGAGUGCAUUGGAAACUGCCAGGCUGGAGUGUCGGAGGGGUAAGCGGAAUUCCUAGUGUAGCGGUGAAAUGCGUAGAUAUUAGGAGGAACACCAGUGGCGAAGGCAGCUUACUGGACGACUACUGACGCUGAGGCUCGAAAGCGUGGGGAGCAAACAGGAUUAGAUCCCCUCGUA